CCCGUAGCUGGUCUGAGAGGAUGAUCAGCCACCACUGGAACUGAGACACGGUCCAGAGUCCUACGGGAGGCAGCAGUGGGGAAUAUUGGACAAUGGGCGCAAGCCUGAUCCAGCCAUACCGCGUGGGUGAAGAAGGCCUUCGGGUUGUAAAGCCCUUUUGUUGGGAAAGAAAUCCAGCUGGNUAAUAGUGGGCUGGGAUGACGGUACCCAAAGAAUAAGCACCGGCUAACUUCGUGCCAGCAGCCGCGGUAAUACGAAGGGUGCAAGCGUUACUCGGAAUUACUGGGCGUAAAGCGUGCGUAGGUGGUCGUUUAAGUCCGUUGUGAAAGCCCUGGGCUCAACCCUGGGAACUGCCAGUGGAUACUGGGCG
Molecule: ribosomal RNA, 370 nt
Filed under: Stenotrophomonas sp. C8
Lineage: Bacteria; Pseudomonadati; Pseudomonadota; Gammaproteobacteria; Lysobacterales; Lysobacteraceae
Description: bacterial SSU rRNA
Rfam family: Bacterial small subunit ribosomal RNA
Source: RNAcentral